CCUACGGGUGGCAGCAGUGAGGAAUAUUGGUCAAUGGGCGCGAGCCUGAACCAGCCAAGUCGCGUGAGGGAGGACGGCCCUACGGGUUGUAAACCUCUUUUGCCGGGGAGCAACGGGCGCCACGUGUGGCGUCCCUGAGAGUACCCGGAGAAAACGCAUCGGCUACCUCCGUGCCAGCAGCCGCGGUAAUACGGAGGAUGCGAGCGUUAUCCGGAGUUAUUGGGUUUAAAGGGUGCGUAGGCGGAGCGUUAAGUCAGUGGUCAAAUUGAGGGGCUCAACCCCUUCCCGCCAUUGAAACUGGCGUUCUUGAGAGGAAGAGAAGUAGGCGGAAUGCGUGGUGUAGCGGUGAAAUGCAUAGAGAUCACGCAGAACCCCGAUUGCGAAGGCAGCAUGCCGGGUUCCGACUGACGCUGAAGCACGAAAGCGUGGGGAUCGAACAGGAUUAGAUACCCUUGUAGUC
Molecule: ribosomal RNA, 460 nt
Filed under: uncultured bacterium
Lineage: Bacteria
Description: partial 16S ribosomal RNA
Rfam family: Bacterial small subunit ribosomal RNA
Source: RNAcentral